RNAcentral lists this ribosomal RNA (166 nucleotides) under Anadenanthera colubrina. Its description in RNAcentral is "5.8S ribosomal RNA". It matches the Rfam family "5.8S ribosomal RNA". From Rfam's summary of the family: 5.8S ribosomal RNA (5.8S rRNA) is a component of the large subunit of the eukaryotic ribosome. It is transcribed by RNA polymerase I as part of the 45S precursor that also contains 18S and 28S rRNA. Functionally, it is thought that 5.8S rRNA may be involved in ribosome translocation. Lineage: Eukaryota; Viridiplantae; Streptophyta; Magnoliopsida; Fabales; Fabaceae. The record is from RNAcentral.
AAAACGACUCUCGGCAACGGAUAUCUCGGCUCUCGCAUCGAUGAAGAACAUAGCGAAAUGCGAUGCUUGGUGUGAAUUGCAGAAUCCCGUGAACCAUUGAGUCCUUGAACGCAAGUUGUGCCCGAAGCCAUUAGGCCGAGGGCACGCCUGCCCGGGCAUCACGCAA